UGGGAACUUUUCCACCACCACCACCACCAUCAGCCCUGGCCCUCAGCCAGCAUGGCAGGCACUGAGCACGACCCUGGGGACAGCCCUCAGGGACACCUGGCCCCGCACGGUGCUCACUGCUUCUCACAUUUGCUCUCUCCCCUCCAGCAUGCAUUCUGUGCGGCCGGGCAGAUGCUGACCCAGUCAUCUGCGGGCGCACAUUUGACCAGAGUGGGAUUCGCGUCCAUGAGUUCUGCUUGAUGUUUGCCCACAUCGAUUUCGAAGAAAGACCCACACAGCAAGGAACUGUGUGCCUCCCCCUUGCUGCCAUCAGAAGCAAGGUCAAGCAGGCAAACCAGAAGCAAUGCUGUGUUUGUGGGGAGAGGGGAGCCGCCACCACAUGCGUAGAGAGCAGCUGCGAACGGAGCUUCCAUCUGCCCUGCGCUGUGGACGGGGAAUGCGUCACCCAGUUCUAUGGGCAGUUCAGGUCCUUCUGCUGGGAGCACCGCCCUCAACAGGCAAUUCAGGAAGCUCCACCAGAAGACACCAACUGCCUCAUCUGCAUGGAGACCGUGGGGGACAGACUGUCCUACCACACCCUGGUGUGCCCAGCAUGCACACACGCCUGGUUCCAUCGGGGCUGCAUCCAGCAACACGCCACGAAUGCUGGCUUUCUGUGCUUCCAGUGCCCCAGCUGCAGAGACAAAUUUCAGUUCCUUAUGGAAAUGUUCACCAUGGGGAUCCAAAUCCCAGCCAGAAGACCGUCAUGGGAGGACAACGGUGCAUACGCAGCGCUUCUACAAAGGCACCAGCGCUGCGAUGCCAGCACGUGCUCUUACCCUGGAGGCAGAGAGCAGGCAGAAGAAGAGGGGUGAGUUACCGCAGCAGCUCCCUGGGGCUCUGCGGGGGAUCUCAGCCUCACCACAGGCUGGGGGAGCAAGGACUGAGCACCAGGGAUGUGCUGGGCACUCCCUGGCUUCGCUCGCUUGGUCCUCACAGCCACAAACCCUUCGCUUCCCCAGGCCCUGGCAGCUCAUCCUGUGCAGCUCCUGUGCUGCGGAGGGCACCCACCGACAGUGCUCCUACUUGAGCAACACCACAAACUCCUGGGAGUGCGACAGCUGUGCCGGCCUGGGGACCGGUAAGAGGCAAUCAACCACCUGCCACUGGUCGACGG
Molecule: long non-coding RNA, 1156 nt
Filed under: Numida meleagris (helmeted guineafowl)
Lineage: Eukaryota; Metazoa; Chordata; Aves; Galliformes; Numididae
Description: lncRNA (ENSNMEG00000003110.1)
Source: RNAcentral